This 468-nucleotide ribosomal RNA is filed under the name uncultured bacterium. RNAcentral describes it as "partial 16S ribosomal RNA". It matches the Rfam family "Bacterial small subunit ribosomal RNA", at positions 28 to 507 of the family's 1533-position model. The record is from RNAcentral.
GACGAACGCUGGCGGCGUGCUUAACACAUGCAAGUCGAACGGAAAGGCCCUGCUUUUGUGGGGUGCUCGAGUGGCGAACGGGUGAGUAACACGUGAGUAACCUGCCCUUGACUUUGGGAUAACUUCAGGAAACUGGGGCUAAUACCGGAUAGGAGCUCCUGCUGCAUGGUGGGGGUUGGAAAGUUUCGGCGGUUGGGGAUGGACUCGCGGCUUAUCAGCUUGUUGGUGGGGUAGUGGCUUACCAAGGCUUUGACGGGUAGCCGGCCUGAGAGGGUGACCGGCCACAUUAGGACUGAGAUACGGCCCAGACUCCUACGGGAGGCAGCAGUGGGGAAUAUUGCACAAUGGGCGGAAGCCUGAUGCAGCGACGCCGCGUGCGGGAUGACGGCCUUCGGGUUGUGAACCGCUUUCGCCUGUGACGAAGCGUGAGUGACGGUAAUGGGUAAAGAAGCACCGGCUAACUACGUG